AGAGUUUGAUCCUGGCUCAGGAUGAACGCUGGCGGCGUGCCUAACACAUGCAAGUCGAACGAGACUGAUUAGAUUGAGAUUUCGGUUGAUUUCUAUGAAAGUCGAGUGGCGGACGGGUGAGUAACGCGUGGGUAACCUGCCUUACAGAGGGGGAUAACAGUUUGAAAAGACUGCUAAUACCGCAUAAGCACACAGUACCGCAUGGUACGGGGUGAAAAGAUUUAUCGCUGUAAGAUGGACCCGCGUCUGAUUAGCUAGUUGGCAGGGUAACGGCCUACCAAGGCGACGAUCAGUAGCCGACCUGAGAGGGUGAUCGGCCACAUUGGGACUGAGACACGGCCCAAACUCCUACGGGAGGCAGCAGUGGGGGAUAUUGCACAAUGGAGGAAACUCUGAUGCAGCGACGCCGCGUGAGUGAAGAAGUAUUUCGGUAUGUAAAGCUCUAUCAGCAGGGAAGAUAAUGACAGUACCUGACUAAGAAGCCCCGGCUAACUACGUGCCAGCAGCCGCGGUAAUACGUAGGGGGCAAGCGUUAUCCGGAUUUACUGGGUGUAAAGGGAGCGUAGACGGAACGGCAAGUUUGAAGUGAAAUACCCGGGCUUAACCCGGGAACUGCUUUGAAAACUGUCGAUCUAGAGUGUCGGAGAGGUAAGUGGAAUUCCUGGUGUAGUAGUGAAAUGCGUAGAUAUCAGGAAGAACACCGGAGGCGAAGGCGGCUUACUGGACGAUAACUGACGUUGAGGCUCGAAAGCGUGGGGAGCAAACAGGAUUAGAUACCCUGGUAGUCCACGCCGUAAACGAUG
RNAcentral lists this ribosomal RNA (803 nucleotides) under uncultured bacterium. Its description in RNAcentral is "bacterial SSU rRNA". It matches the Rfam family "Bacterial small subunit ribosomal RNA", at positions 8 to 811 of the family's 1533-position model. The record is from RNAcentral.